CCUACGGGGGGCAGCAGUGGGGAAUAUUGGACAAUGGGCGAAAGCCUGAUCCAGCCAUGCCGCGUGUGUGAAGAAGGCCUUCGGGUUGUAAAGCACUUUCAGUGGGGAAGAAAGCCUUGGGGCUAAUACCCUCGAGGAAGGACAUCACCCACAGAAGAAGCACCGGCUAACUCCGUGCCAGCAGCCGCGGUAAUACGGAGGGUGCGAGCGUUAAUCGGAAUUACUGGGCGUAAAGCGCGCGUAGGCGGUCUGAUAAGCCGGUUGUGAAAGCCCCGGGCUCAACCUGGGAACGGCAUCCGGAACUGUCAGGCUAGAGUGCAGGAGAGGAAGGUAGACUUCCCGGUGUAGCGGUGAAAUGCGUAGAGAUCGGGAGGAAUACCAGUGGCGAAGGCGGCCUUCUGGACUGACACUGACGCUGAGGUGCGAAAGCGUGGGUAGCAAACAGGAUUAGAUACCCGAGUAGUC
Molecule: ribosomal RNA, 465 nt
Filed under: Vreelandella stevensii
Lineage: Bacteria; Pseudomonadati; Pseudomonadota; Gammaproteobacteria; Oceanospirillales; Halomonadaceae
Description: partial 16S ribosomal RNA
Rfam family: Bacterial small subunit ribosomal RNA
Source: RNAcentral